GACGGAGGGUGCUAGCGUUGUUCGGAAUCACUGGGCGUAAAGGGCGCGUAGGCGGCCGAGGCAGUUGGAUGUGAAAGCCCGGGGCUCAACCCCGGAGGUGCAUCCGAUACUCCUUGGCUGGAGGCCGGAAGAGGAGGGUGGAAUACCCAGUGUAGAGGUGAAAUUCGUAGAUAUUGGGUGGAACACCGGUGGCGAAAGCGGCUCUCUGGUCCGGUUCUGACGCUGAGGCGCGAAAGCGUGGGGAGCAAACAGG
Molecule: ribosomal RNA, 253 nt
Filed under: uncultured bacterium
Lineage: Bacteria
Description: partial 16S ribosomal RNA
Rfam family: Bacterial small subunit ribosomal RNA
Source: RNAcentral